Molecule: long non-coding RNA, 277 nt
Filed under: Nicotiana benthamiana
Lineage: Eukaryota; Viridiplantae; Streptophyta; Magnoliopsida; Solanales; Solanaceae
Description: long non-coding RNA (NBEN_LNC035852)
Source: RNAcentral
UAUCUGUCUUAAUUCGACCCUUUUUUCGAGUAGUUUUUUCUUCGGCAAAUUGCCCGGUCCAAGCCAGCCCAACUAGAGCCGCUAAGACCAUACCAGUGCUCUCCACACGCCCAUGUUUGCUCGAUUACAGAUAAUCUCUCUUGUGCACUGCGAAAGGUUUCGGAAUAGCCCUACCUUACUCCUUAGAACCAAAAGCCAGAUAGAUCUUGCUACUAGAAAACCGAAGGAGCACACAAAGCAACCUCAUUGUCACCAAGAUAGAGAUGGAAGGUUUGAU